Molecule: ribosomal RNA, 393 nt
Filed under: uncultured bacterium
Lineage: Bacteria
Description: bacterial SSU rRNA
Rfam family: Bacterial small subunit ribosomal RNA
Source: RNAcentral
ACUCCUACGGGAGGCAGCAGUGGGGAAUAUUGCACAAUGGGGGAAACCCUGAUGCAGCCAUGCCGCGUGUGUGAAGAAGGCCUUCGGGUUGUAAAGCACUUUCAGUAGGGAGGAAGGUAGUGUAGUUAACACCUGCAUUAUUUGUACGUUACCUACAGAAGAAGCACCGGCUAACUCCGUGCCAGCAGCCGCGGUAAUACGGAGGGUGCGAGCGUUAAUCGGAAUUACUGGGCGUAAAGCGCAUGCAGGCGGCCUGUUAAGUCAGAUGUGAAAGCCCGGGGUCUUAACCUCGGAAUUGCAUUUGAAACUGGCAGGCUAGAGUCUUGUAGAGGGGUUAGAAUUUCAGGUGUAGCGGUGAAAUGCGUAGAGAUCUGAAGGAAUACCAGUGGCGAA